Molecule: long non-coding RNA, 646 nt
Organism: Polyodon spathula (Mississippi paddlefish)
Lineage: Eukaryota; Metazoa; Chordata; Actinopteri; Acipenseriformes; Polyodontidae
Exons: 2
Source: RefSeq, a predicted model, not a curated record
UGGUCUCCCUCCUCCCUCUCCCCUCACCUCCCUCUCCCCUCACCUCCCCCAGCGCGAAGGGGAGUUAGAAACCGUCAGAGAAGGAGUCUAAACAACUGGCUGUUCCUUUUAAAGGCCCAGACACCCUCCACAGACACAGACUAGCAUAGCAGUCAGAAUGAAAACAUGGACUGGAAGCUCCUCAGAUACUUUCAAGGUGAAUGCAGAUGACCUUGAAGAGUGCAAUGAAGACUAAUCCCAGGGCCCAAAGGAAUGGGCUCUGAAGAGAGGCUGAGGGAACUGAAUCUAUACAGCCAAGAACAAAGACGAAUUAGGGGCUUGAUGGAAGCCUUUAAAACAUGAAAAAAGGAGCUGACAAAAAAACACUCCCAGAGGACACAGUUGGAAAUGAAGCGGAGACAGACAUAGCCCAGAGGGAAGGAUGCACUUGCUUCCACAGAAUGGGGAGAGUGUGGGAUGGGUUACCCAGCCAUGUUAUCGAGGCUGAAUCAUUGGGGACCCCACUUUACAAAGUUUUGAGAUCUACUACAGUAGUUGCUAGCAAUCUUUGAGGAGCACUGACUUCCCUCGUUCAUAACUUUCCUUAUGUUCCUAUAAGCUACAAUGGCUAAAAGUUGUUACUGAAUAAAGUGCUGUCUUAAAGGUU